RNAcentral lists this ribosomal RNA (481 nucleotides) under uncultured bacterium. Its description in RNAcentral is "partial 16S ribosomal RNA". It matches the Rfam family "Bacterial small subunit ribosomal RNA", at positions 29 to 507 of the family's 1533-position model. The record is from RNAcentral.
ACGAACGCUGGCGGCGUGCUUCACACCUGCAAGUCGAACGCUGAAGCUCAGCUUGCUGGGUGGAUGAGUGGCGAACGGGUGAGUAACACGUGAGUAACCUGCCCUCUUCUUUGGGAUAACGCCCGGAAACGGGUGCUAAUACUGGAUAUUCACUGAUUCUCGCAUGGGGGUUGGUGGAAAGGUUUUUUCUGGUGGGGGAUGGGCUCGCGGCCUAUCAGCUUGUUGGUGGGGUGAUGGCCUACCAAGGCUUUGACGGGUAGCCGGCCUGAGAGGGUGACCGGUCACAUUGGGACUGAGAUACGGCCCAGACUCCUACGGGAGGCAGCAGUGGGGAAUAUUGCACAAUGGGCGAAAGCCUGAUGCAGCGACGCCGCGUGAGGGAUGGAGGCCUUCGGGUUGUAAACCUCUUUCGCUCAUGGUCAAGCCGCAGCUUUGGGUUGUGGUGAGGGUAGUGGGUAAAGAAGCGCCGGCUAACUACGUG